GACGAACGCUGGCGGCGUGCUUAACACAUGCAAGUCGAACGGAAAGGCCCUGCUUUUGUGGGGUGCUCGAGUGGCGAACGGGUGAGUAACACGUGAGUAACCUGCCCUUGACUUUGGGAUAACUUCAGGAAACUGGGGCUAAUACCGGAUAGGAGCUCCUGCUGCAUGGUGGGGGUUGGAAAGUUUCGGCGGUUGGGGAUGGACUCGCGGCUUAUCAGCUUGUUGGUGGGGUAGCGGCUUACCAAGGCUUUGACGGGUAGCCGGCCUGAGAGGGUGACCGGCCAAAUUGGGACUGAAAUACGGCCCAGACUCCUACGGGAGGCAGCAGUGGGGAAUAUUGCACAAUGGGCGGAAGCCUGAUGCAGCAACGCCGCGUGCGGGAUGACGGCCUUCGGGUUGUAAACCGCUUUCGCCUGUGACGAAGCGUGAGUGACGGUAAUGGGUAAAGAAGCACCGGCUAACUACGUG
RNAcentral lists this ribosomal RNA (468 nucleotides) under uncultured bacterium. Its description in RNAcentral is "partial 16S ribosomal RNA". It matches the Rfam family "Bacterial small subunit ribosomal RNA", at positions 28 to 507 of the family's 1533-position model. The record is from RNAcentral.